UAUUGGACAAUGGGCGAAAGCCUGAUCCAGCAAUGCCGCGUGAGUGAUGAAGGCCCUAGGGUUGUAAAGCUCUUUUACCCGGGAAGAUAAUGACUGUACCGGGAGAAUAAGCCCCGGCUAACUCCGUGCCAGCAGCCGCGGUAAUACGGAGGGGGCUAGCGUUGUUCGGAAUUACUGGGCGUAAAGCGCACGUAGGCGGCUUUGUAAGUCAGAGGUGAAAGCCUGGAGCUCAACUCCAGAACUGCCUUUGAGACUGCAUCGCUUGAAUCCAGGAGAGGUCAGUGGAAUUCCGAGUGUAGAGGUGAAAUUUGUAGAUAUUCGGAAGAACACCAGUGGCGAAGGCGGCUGACUGGACUGGUAUGACGCUGAGUGCGAA
This 376-nucleotide ribosomal RNA is filed under the name uncultured bacterium. RNAcentral's name for it is "bacterial SSU rRNA". It matches the Rfam family "Bacterial small subunit ribosomal RNA", at positions 362 to 757 of the family's 1533-position model. The record is from RNAcentral.